RNAcentral lists this ribosomal RNA (503 nucleotides) under uncultured bacterium. Its description in RNAcentral is "partial 16S ribosomal RNA". It matches the Rfam family "Bacterial small subunit ribosomal RNA", at positions 28 to 523 of the family's 1533-position model. The record is from RNAcentral.
GAUGAACGCUAGCGGCAGGCUUAAUACAUGCAAGUCGAGGGGCAGCAGUUUUGUAGCAAUACAGAAGCUGGCGACCGGCAAACGGGUGCGGAACACGUACGCAACCUUCCUUUAACUGGAAGAUAGCCCACCGAAAGGUGGAUUAAUACUCCAUAACAUAUUGAAGAGGCAUCUCUUUGAUAUUAAAGCUCCGGCGGUCAAAGAUGGGCGUGCGUCUGAUUAGGUAGUUGGCGGGGUAACGGCCCACCAAGCCUUCGAUCAGUAGCUGAUGUGAGAGCAUGAUCAGCCACACGGGCACUGAGACACGGGCCCGACUCCUACGGGAGGCAGCAGUAAGGAAUAUUGGUCAAUGGACGCAAGUCUGAACCAGCCAUGCCGCGUGGAGGAUGAAGGCCCUCUGGGUUGUAAACUUCUUUUCUUUGGGACGAAACCCCUGUUUCUACGGGGACUGACGGUACCUGCAGAAAAAGCACCGGCUAACUACGUGCCAGCCGCCGCGGUAA